Molecule: ribosomal RNA, 484 nt
Filed under: uncultured bacterium
Lineage: Bacteria
Description: partial 16S ribosomal RNA
Rfam family: Bacterial small subunit ribosomal RNA
Source: RNAcentral
AUUGAACGCUGGCGGCAUGCCUAACACAUGCAAGUCGAGCGGAUGAAGGGAGCUUUCUCCUGGAUUCAGCUGCGGACGGGUGAGUAAUGCCUAGGAAUCUGCCUGGUAGUGGGGGAUAACGUCCGUAAACGGGCGCUAAUACCGCAUACGUCCUUAUUGAGAAAGUGGGGGAUCUUCGGACCUCACGCUAUCAGAUGAGCCUAGGUCGGAUUAGCUAGUUGGUGGGGUAAAGGCCUACCAAGGCGACGAUCCAUAACUGGUCUGAGAGGAUGAUCAGUCACACUGGAACUGAGACACGGUCCAGACUCCUACGGGAGGCAGCAGUGGGGAAUAUUGGACAAUGGGCGAAAGCCUGAUGCAGCAAUGCCGCGUGUGUGAAGAAGGUCUUCGGAUCGUAAAGCACUUUAAGUUGGGAGGAAGGGAAGUAAGUUAAUACGUUGCUGUUUUGACGUUACCAACAGAAUAAGCACCGGCUAACUUCGUG